AACGAACGCUGGCGGCAGGCCUAACACAUGCAAGUCGAGCGCCCUUUCGGGGGAGCGGCGGACGGGUGAGUAACGCGUGGGAAUAUGCCCUUCUCUACGGAAUAGCCUCGGGAAACUGAGAGUAAUACCGUAUACGCCCUAUGGGGGAAAGAUUUAUCGGGGAAGGAUUAGCCCGCGUUGGAUUAGGUAGUUGGUGGGGUAAUGGCCUACCAAGCCGACGAUCCAUAGCUGGUUUGAGAGGAUGAUCAGCCACACUGGGACUGAGACACGGCCCAGACUCCUACGGGAGGCAGCAGUGGGGAAUCUUAGACAAUGGGGGCAACCCUGAUCUAGCCAUGCCGCGUGAGUGAUGAAGGCCUGAGAGUUGUAAAGCUCUUUCAGCUGGGAAGAUAAUGACGGUACCAGCAGAAGAAGCCCCGGCUAACUCCGUG
Molecule: ribosomal RNA, 431 nt
Filed under: uncultured bacterium
Lineage: Bacteria
Description: partial 16S ribosomal RNA
Rfam family: Bacterial small subunit ribosomal RNA
Source: RNAcentral